UACGUAGGGUCCGAGCGUUGUCCGGAAUUACUGGGCGUAAAGAGCUCGUAGGUGGUUUGUCGCGUUGUUCGUGAAAACUCACAGCUUAACUGUGGGCGUGCGGGCGAUACGGGCAGACUUGAGUACUGCAGGGGAGACUGGAAUUCCUGGUGUAGCGGUGGAAUGCGCAGAUAUCAGGAGGAACACCGGUGGCGAAGGCGGGUCUCUGGGCCAGUACUGACGCUGAGGAGCGAAAGCGUGGGGAGCGAACAGGAUUAGAACCUACCGAGUCAGACCAAGACCA
Molecule: ribosomal RNA, 283 nt
Filed under: uncultured bacterium
Lineage: Bacteria
Description: partial 16S ribosomal RNA
Rfam family: Bacterial small subunit ribosomal RNA
Source: RNAcentral